CCUACGGGAGGCAGCAGUGAGGAAUAUUGGUCAAUGGGCGGAAGCCUGAACCAGCCAAGUCGCGUGAGGGAAUAAGGCCCUACGGGUUGUAAACCUCUUUUGCCGGGGAGCAAGGGCCGGGACGUGUCCCGCCCCGGAGAGUACCCGGAGAAAAAGCAUCGGCUAACUCCGUGCCAGCAGCCGCGGUAAUACGGAGGAUGCGAGCGUUAUCCGGAUUUAUUGGGUUUAAAGGGUGCGUAGGCGGGCUGUUAAGUCAGCGGUAAAAAUUAGGGGCCAAACCCCUUACGGCCGUUGAAACUGGGGGCCUUGAGUGGGCGAGAAGAAGGCGGAAGGCGUGGUGUAGCGGUGAAAUGCAUAGAUAUCACGCAGAACCCCGAUUGCGAAGGCAGCAUUCCGGCGCCCUACUGACGCUGAGGCACGAAAGUGCGGGGAUCGAACAGGAUUAGAUACCCCAGUAGUC
Molecule: ribosomal RNA, 460 nt
Filed under: uncultured bacterium
Lineage: Bacteria
Description: partial 16S ribosomal RNA
Rfam family: Bacterial small subunit ribosomal RNA
Source: RNAcentral